Molecule: small nucleolar RNA, 104 nt
Organism: Piliocolobus tephrosceles (Ugandan red Colobus)
Lineage: Eukaryota; Metazoa; Chordata; Mammalia; Primates; Cercopithecidae
Product: small nucleolar RNA U13
Exons: 1
Source: RefSeq, a predicted model, not a curated record
AUCUUUUUGUAGUUCAUAAGUGUGAUAACUAAGUGUUCAUGUGCAUGUAUGAGACGUGCCACCCUUAAACCUUGUUAUAACAUCAGCACAUUACCCAUACGACA